This 319-nucleotide long non-coding RNA is filed under the name Nicotiana benthamiana. RNAcentral describes it as "long non-coding RNA (NBEN_LNC005724)". The record is from RNAcentral. Lineage: Eukaryota; Viridiplantae; Streptophyta; Magnoliopsida; Solanales; Solanaceae.
GAAAAAUUAAUAUACUUGAAUAAACAACAGUUGACUUCCCUGUUUAUAUUUAGUUGAGUAGCAGGAUUGCUCCCCCUCAAUGUAUAGUCAACUGGAUCCCCCUGUGUAUGUGCAUUCGAUGUGUUCUCCCCCUCAUUAGGUUCAGUCGACUGGUACCUGUAAAGAAAUAUCGAACAGUUGUCUGGGAAAUAGGUGCAUACACUAGUCAACUUGCCUUUUCAGUAGUCGACUUGACUCUUCAGUUUGUACUAUGCCAUAGCGAUAAUACUUAGUUGACUUGACCUGUGCAGAUAUACAAAAACAUACAAAGCAUAUACGC